This 327-nucleotide ribosomal RNA is filed under the name uncultured eukaryote. RNAcentral describes it as "partial 18S ribosomal RNA". It matches the Rfam family "Eukaryotic small subunit ribosomal RNA", at positions 1470 to 1796 of the family's 1831-position model. The record is from RNAcentral.
CCCUUAGAUGUUCUCGGCCGCACACGCGCUACACUGAAAGAGGCAACGUGUUUGCCUGAUUCGAAAGAAUUGGGUAACCCCCUAAUCUCUUUCGUGCUGAGGAUUGAGGUUUGCAAUUAUCCUUCAUGAACGAGGAAUUCCCAGUAAGUGCGAGUCAUUAUCUCGCGCUGACUACGUCCCUGCCCUUUGUACACACCGCCCGUCGCUACUACCGAUUGAAUGAUUUAGUGAGGACUUCGGACUGAGUCCAAUGCGGCUUUCGGGCUGCGUUGGUAUUUCGGAAAGAUGUCCAAACUGUAUCAUUUAGAGGAAGUAAAAGUCGUAACA